Molecule: ribosomal RNA, 404 nt
Filed under: Verrucomicrobiota bacterium
Lineage: Bacteria; Pseudomonadati; Verrucomicrobiota
Description: Verrucomicrobia bacterium partial 16S ribosomal RNA
Rfam family: Bacterial small subunit ribosomal RNA
Source: RNAcentral
UGGGGAAUAUUGCACAAUGGGGGAAACCCUGAUGCAGCGACGCCGCGUGAGCGAUGAAGGCUUUCGAGUCGUAAAGCUCUGUCCUAUGGGAAGAUAAUGACGGUACCAUAGAAGAAAGCCCCGGCUAAUUACGUGCCAGCAGCCGCGGUAAUACGUAAGGGGCGAGCGUUGUCCGGAAUUAUUGGGCGUAAAGAGUGCGUAGGCGGCAAAUUAAGUCGGAUGUGAAAACUAAGGGCUCAACCCAUAGAUUGCAUCUGAAACUGAUAUGCUUGAGUCAAGGAGAGGAAAGUGGAAUUCCUAGUGUAGCGGUGGAAUGCGUAGAUAUUAGGAGGAAUACCGGUGGCGAAGGCGACUUUCUGGACUUGAACUGACGCUGAGGCACGAAAGCGUGGGGAGCAAACAGG